Unclassified non-coding RNA from Macaca fascicularis (crab-eating macaque), 148 nucleotides. It matches the Rfam family "Metazoan signal recognition particle RNA". Rfam says of the family: The signal recognition particle (SRP) is a universally conserved ribonucleoprotein. It is involved in the co-translational targeting of proteins to membranes. The eukaryotic SRP consists of a 300-nucleotide 7S RNA and six proteins: SRPs 72, 68, 54, 19, 14, and 9. The record is from Ensembl. NCBI's taxonomy places the organism in Eukaryota, Metazoa, Chordata, Mammalia, Primates, Cercopithecidae.
GCUGGGCGCGGUGGUGGGCGCCUGUAGUCCCAGCUACUCAGGAGGCUGAGGCAGGAGAAUGGCGUGAGCCCGGGAGGCGGAGCUUGCAGUGAGCUGAGAUCCGGCCACUGCACUCCAGCCCGGGCGACAGAGCCAGACUCUGUCUCAA